UUGGAUGUUAAGUUCUUGUCCUAAACUGA
This 29-nucleotide non-coding RNA is filed under the name Mus musculus (house mouse). The record is from RNAcentral. Lineage: Eukaryota; Metazoa; Chordata; Mammalia; Rodentia; Muridae. RNAcentral also lists the same sequence under 1 other name.